CAGUCAUAAGACCACACCAAACUUCAAGGUAUGCUAGGAAAUGUGGUCUAGCUAUAUGCCCAGAAAGAAGAAAAUGGAUUUGAGUGAACAACUUCAGACUACGAAAAUACAGAAAGAAGAUUCGGGCAUGUGGAUAACAAAGAACAAGAAAGCAUCACAGAAGCAUUUUACAGGGAAGAUAUAAAAGGCUACAUCAGGGGGCGGACAGCCAGUUGCUAUUUUAUACUGAAGGUCUUGUGUUUACUGUCAUGGAAAUAAAUUUUGCAU
This 267-nucleotide long non-coding RNA is filed under the name Dasypus novemcinctus (nine-banded armadillo). RNAcentral describes it as "lncRNA (ENSDNOG00000051790.1)". The record is from RNAcentral. Lineage: Eukaryota; Metazoa; Chordata; Mammalia; Cingulata; Dasypodidae.